RNAcentral lists this ribosomal RNA (496 nucleotides) under uncultured bacterium. Its description in RNAcentral is "partial 16S ribosomal RNA". It matches the Rfam family "Bacterial small subunit ribosomal RNA", at positions 29 to 507 of the family's 1533-position model. The record is from RNAcentral.
AACGAACGCUGGCGGCGCGUCUUAAGCAUGCAAGUCGAACGGCAAGAGAGGAGCUUGCUUCUCUCCUAGAGUGGCGGACUGGUGAGGAACACGUGGGUAAUCUACCCUUAAGAUGGGGAUAGCUGCUAGAAAUAGCAGGUAAUACCGAAUACACUCGGCAUAUCACAAGAGGUGUUGAGGAAAGGAAGCUACGGCUUCGCAUGAGGAUGAGCUUGCGUCCCAUUAGCUAGUUGGUGAGGUAAAGGCCCACCAAGGCGACGAUGGGUAUCCGGCCUGAGAGGGUGAACGGACACAUUGGGACUGAGAUACGGCCCAAACUCCUACGGGAGGCAGCAGCUAAGAAUAUUCCGCAAUGGACGGAAGUCUGACGGAGCGACGCCGCGUGGAUGAAGAAGGCUGAAAAGUUGUAAAAUCCUUUUGUUGAUGAAGAAUAAGGGUGAGAGGGAAUGCUCAUCUGAUGACGGUAAUCGACGAAUAAGCCCCGGCUAAGUACGUG